CAAAGAAAUAACAUUAAAAUAAAAUGUUUUAAUUCUUGAGGAAGUCACAUAAGCAUGCUUGGGCUAGAGUAGUACUGUGAUGGGUGACCUCUCGGGAAGUCUUAGUGUUUUGC
Molecule: non-coding RNA, 113 nt
Organism: Picea glauca (white spruce)
Lineage: Eukaryota; Viridiplantae; Streptophyta; Pinopsida; Pinales; Pinaceae
Source: Rfam